UACAGAGGGGGCAAGCGUUAUUCGGAAUUAUUGGGCGUAAAGGGCGCGUAGGCGGCCUUUCAAGUGACGGGUGAAAGCCCUCGGCUUAACCGAGGAACUGCCUGUCAGACUGGCACGCUCGAGUUCGGGAGAGGAUGGUGGAAUUCCCAGUGUAGAGGUGAAAUUCGUAGAUAUUGGGAAGAACACCGAUGGCGAAGGCAGCCAUCUGGACCGACACUGACGCUGAGGCGCGAAAGCGUGGGGAGCAAACAGG
RNAcentral lists this ribosomal RNA (253 nucleotides) under uncultured bacterium. RNAcentral describes it as "partial 16S ribosomal RNA". It matches the Rfam family "Bacterial small subunit ribosomal RNA", at positions 524 to 776 of the family's 1533-position model. The record is from RNAcentral.